This 126-nucleotide small nuclear RNA is filed under the name Panthera pardus (leopard). RNAcentral's name for it is "U4 spliceosomal RNA (ENSPPRG00000016872.1)". The stretch from base 1 to 83 matches the Rfam family "U4 spliceosomal RNA". Rfam says of the family: U4 small nuclear RNA (U4 snRNA) is a component of the major U2-dependent spliceosome. The structure of U4 snRNA from yeast and human has been reported. U4 snRNA presents a k-turn RNA motif in the 5p-SL related to recognition of Snu13 protein. Lineage: Eukaryota; Metazoa; Chordata; Mammalia; Carnivora; Felidae. The record is from RNAcentral.
AGCUUUGUGCAGUGGCAGAAUCAUAGCCAAUGAGGUUUAUCUGAGACGCGAUUAUUGCUAAUAGAAAAAAAGAACCAAAACAUAAUACCCAUUAACAAUGUUGCUUAUGUUGCUUCCCAGUGAGGA